CUUGGUCAUUUAGAGGAAGUAAAAGUCGUAACAAGGUUUCCGUAGGUGAACCUGCGGAAGGAUCAUUAGUGAAUUGAAUAUGUUAGCGGACCUCUUCGGAGUCCCUAGCAUCAAAUCAUAUCCAUAACACCUGUGAACUGUAAGGCUGUCUUGAAAACGAAAGUGAUUAGAGCGCCUGCCCAUUUUAUACAAACAUUAAAGUAACAAACGUAGUCUUAUUAUAAUCUAAUAAAACUUUCAACAACGGAUCUCUUGGCUCUCGCAUCGAUGAAGAACGCAGCGAAAUGCGAUAAGUAAUGUGAAUUGCAGAAUUCAGUGAAUCAUCGAAUCUUUGAACGCACCUUGCGCUCUUUGGUAUUCCGAAGAGCAUGCCUGUUUGAGUGUCAUGAAAAUAUCAACCUUGACUUGGGUUUAGUGCUCUUGUCUUGGCUUGGAUUUGGCUGUUUGCCGCUCGAAAGAGUCGGCUCAGCUUAAAAGUAUUAGCUGGAUCUGUCUUUGAGACUUGGUUUGACUUGGCGUAAUAAGUUAUUUCGCUGAGGACAAUCUUCGGAUUGGCCGAGUUUCUGGGACGUUUGUCCGCUUUCUAAUACAAGUUCUAGCUUGCUAGACAUGACUUUUUUAUUAUCUGGCCUCAAAUCAGGUAGGACUACCCGCUGAACUUAAGCAUAUCAAUAAGCGGAGGAAAAGAAACCAACAGGGAUUGCCUUAGUAACGGCGAGUGAAGCGGCAAAAGCUCAAAUUUGAAAUCGGCCACCAGGUCGAGUUGUAAUUUGUAGAUUGUAUCUUGAGAGCGGAUUAAAGUCUGUUGGAACACAGCGCCUUAGAGGGUGACAGCCCCGUAAAAUCUAUUCUCAUUGUAAGAUACUUUCGAAGAGUCGAGUUGUUUGGGAAU
Molecule: small RNA, 892 nt
Filed under: uncultured Cryptococcus
Lineage: Eukaryota; Fungi; Basidiomycota; Tremellomycetes
Description: eukaryotic LSU rRNA
Rfam family: Eukaryotic large subunit ribosomal RNA (bases 627-892)
Source: RNAcentral